GACUCGUUAGCUCAGUGGUAAGAGCGUCGCACUAGCAUUGCUGAAGUGAAGGACGGAAGGUUCGAUUCCUCCACGGGUCA
Molecule: transfer RNA, 80 nt
Organism: Oryctes borbonicus
Lineage: Eukaryota; Metazoa; Arthropoda; Insecta; Coleoptera; Scarabaeidae
Rfam family: tRNA
About the family: Transfer RNA (tRNA) molecules are approximately 80 nucleotides in length.
Source: Rfam